This is a long non-coding RNA of Brachypodium distachyon (stiff brome), 1700 nucleotides long. RefSeq lists it as uncharacterized. Lineage: Eukaryota; Viridiplantae; Streptophyta; Magnoliopsida; Poales; Poaceae. The record is from RefSeq and is a predicted model, not a curated record. The transcript has 4 exons.
AAUAAGGAAGUGAAGAAGGUGGAGAACAAGGUGUGAGCAAGUGUAAGAAGAAACAUUUUACAGCGCAUCGAUUCUCUGCUUCACACUGAAUUUAAUGGGUACAUUGGCACAAUGCAACAUUGUUUGGAACGAAAACAUAUGACUGGUGGGUGAGUUCAAUUCAAAACCUACUUCUAAGUUCUGGGAUGCCGUCCAAGUAACCGGCUUCAUGUGGGAGCAGAGAGCGCUGCUAUUCCACUUGACCCUCCGUCUGAAUAAGCUCGUCGCCGACACCACAACCACUGUAGGUAUUGCCGACUACCCUAAUCUUUACUUCUUUUACCUGCAAACAAUGGUUGCGAAACCGAGUGUCGUCUUAGGUCAAUACAGGUAAUUUCUUAACUCGGCAAUCUACUAUGCAAGCAAUAGAUUGAGUGGAGCAUGAGGUGCAAUUAGUUUCAGGAGCACAAAAACAACAAGGUACAGGUCCAAGAUAUAUUUUUUAGAAUAACAAAAAUCAAGUGGGCCAGGGAAAAAAAGGAUAAAGUUAGGAUUGUAAGAUGUUCAGAACUGGCAAGGUUAUCCUAGUGUUUUUAGAAUAAUAAAUGUCAAGUGGGCGAGAUAAACUUAGGAUUGUAAGAUGUACUAGCAAAAUUUUCUUGGUAUGUCUUUAUAAGAUGUUUACGUUGUUGCACAACUCUUGUGAUUGGACCAUUGAUCAUAAGUCAUGACCCAUGCCGUGUUUGGCUGGAAUUUAUGGAUUGCAAACAGAAAUCAUUACCGGUUCCAACCGUGGAGAUAUUUUGGUUUACCACACUAUUAUUUUUUGAAUGGUGAUUAGCACUCCAGAGUUGCUGGCAAUGAACUGAAAUAACAAAACAGGUUUGCUCAGAAGUUAGAUCAGGUAUAACCGGAUUCCUUCUGACUCACUUGGAAUGGUAAGCGUCUCGGAAGACCCUUGACUGAGGAGAUGUGUGUUGGAAGGAUGAAUCGCUCCCAAAAAGGAGCCUAAUUGAUUCUCUCCCAACUUCAUGCCCUUGUGGUGCAUUGCUGUCAUAAAAUGCAUGAUUGAAGUGUCAAUUGCAUGAAUAUUGAAUGGAUAUGGGCCCACCUCUGUCGCUUGUCAUAACUAUAUAUUACAUGGUGUAUUGCCAUGAUCUUUUUCAGUUUUGUAUUCUCUUCUAGCUGAUAGAUUCAUUGGGUUGAAUGACUUUGAAGAAGAGCUGUUUUAUCUUGAGAUGUUGGAGUGAACCAACUAGCAUUUUCAGUUUUGUCAUCUCUUGUAGCGACUACUAUCUGAUAGAUUCAGGCUACUUGCUGAAUUACUUUGAGUUACUUCAGUGCUUCCGGCUCCCUGAAAACACCAUGUGAUCGGUGGCGUUCCUGCAAGCACACCAUAACAAUGUUCUCAUCGUCGGCUUCGACAGAAGCUUCUACCGGUGCCUAGGCGACAUGGUGCCCCUGGACCUGGAGGCCUGGAGUACAACUGUACAAGAAAUCCAUCCAUGAAGGACGACGAAAUGAGCCAGUGAGAGAGGAUGACAGUACUAGUCGGCAGUUCUAGUCGGAAGGGCUCCUGAUUUCUUCCUGUUAAUCCUAAACACUGAACGUGGAACACGCAGCCUUUGCUUCUACCAUGUAUUUUCUAAUAAGAAAUUGUGUUGUUUAAUUUCUAGGUACUUGACCUUCUGAGCGGGAGUGUGAGUUGUUUUAAGUUUUAA